UACAUGGGGUGCAAACGUUGCUCGGAAUUAUUGGGCGUAAAGCGCGCGUAGGCGGUUACUCAAGUCGGAUGUGAAAGCCCUCGGCUUAACUGAGGAAGUGCACCCGAAACUGAGUAGCUAGAGUACUAAAGAGGGUCGCGGAAUUCCCGGUGUAGAGGUGAAAUUCGUAGAUAUCGGGAGGAACACCGGUGGCGAAGGCGGCGUCCUGGACCAACACUGACACUGAGGAGCGAAAGCCAGGGGAGCAAACGGG
This 253-nucleotide ribosomal RNA is filed under the name uncultured bacterium. Its description in RNAcentral is "partial 16S ribosomal RNA". It matches the Rfam family "Bacterial small subunit ribosomal RNA", at positions 524 to 776 of the family's 1533-position model. The record is from RNAcentral.